RNAcentral lists this ribosomal RNA (2485 nucleotides) under Escherichia coli. RNAcentral's name for it is "partial 23S ribosomal RNA". It matches the Rfam family "Bacterial large subunit ribosomal RNA", at positions 375 to 2843 of the family's 2925-position model. The record is from RNAcentral. Lineage: Bacteria; Pseudomonadati; Pseudomonadota; Gammaproteobacteria; Enterobacterales; Enterobacteriaceae.
GUACACAAAAAUGCACAUAUUGUGAGCUCGAUGAGUAGGGCGGGACACGUGGUAUCCUGUCUGAAUAUGGGGGGACCAUCCUCCAAGGCUAAAUACUCCUGACUGACCGAUAGUGAACCAGUACCGUGAGGGAAAGGCGAAAAGAACCCCGGCGAGGGGAGUGAAAAAGAACCUGAAACCGUGUACGUACAAGCAGUGGGAGCCUCUUUAUGGGGUGACUGCGUACCUUUUGUAUAAUGGGUCAGCGACUUAUAUUCUGUAGCAAGGUUAACCGAAUAGGGGAGCCGAAGGGAAACCGAGUCUUAACUGGGCGUUAAGUUGCAGGGUAUAGACCCGAAACCCGGUGAUCUAGCCAUGGGCAGGUUGAAGGUUGGGUAACACUAACUGGAGGACCGAACCGACUAAUGUUGAAAAAUUAGCGGAUGACUUGUGGCUGGGGGUGAAAGGCCAAUCAAACCGGGAGAUAGCUGGUUCUCCCCGAAAGCUAUUUAGGUAGCGCCUCGUGAAUUCAUCUCCGGGGGUAGAGCACUGUUUCGGCAAGGGGGUCAUCCCGACUUACCAACCCGAUGCAAACUGCGAAUACCGGAGAAUGUUAUCACGGGAGACACACGGCGGGUGCUAACGUCCGUCGUGAAGAGGGAAACAACCCAGACCGCCAGCUAAGGUCCCAAAGUCAUGGUUAAGUGGGAAACGAUGUGGGAAGGCCCAGACAGCCAGGAUGUUGGCUUAGAAGCAGCCAUCAUUUAAAGAAAGCGUAAUAGCUCACUGGUCGAGUCGGCCUGCGCGGAAGAUGUAACGGGGCUAAACCAUGCACCGAAGCUGCGGCAGCGACACUAUGUGUUGUUGGGUAGGGGAGCGUUCUGUAAGCCUGUGAAGGUGGCCUGUGAGGGUUGCUGGAGGUAUCAGAAGUGCGAAUGCUGACAUAAGUAACGAUAAAGCGGGUGAAAAGCCCGCUCGCCGGAAGACCAAGGGUUCCUGUCCAACGUUAAUCGGGGCAGGGUGAGUCGACCCCUAAGGCGAGGCCGAAAGGCGUAGUCGAUGGGAAACAGGUUAAUAUUCCUGUACUUGGUGUUACUGCGAAGGGGGGACGGAGAAGGCUAUGUUGGCCGGGCGACGGUUGUCCCGGUUUAAGCGUGUAGGCUGGUUUUCCAGGCAAAUCCGGAAAACCAAGGCUGAGGCGUGAUGACGAGGCACUACGGUGCUGAAGCGACAAAUGCCCUGCUUCCAGGAAAAGCCUCUAAGCAUCAGGUAACAUCAAAUCGUACCCCAAACCGACACAGGUGGUCAGGUAGAGAAUACCAAGGCGCUUGAGAGAACUCGGGUGAAGGAACUAGGCAAAAUGGUGCCGUAACUUCGGGAGAAGGCACGCUGAUAUGUAGGUGAAGCGACUUGCUCGUGGAGCUGAAAUCAGUCGAAGAUACCAGCUGGCUGCAACUGUUUAUUAAAAACACAGCACUGUGCAAACACGAAAGUGGACGUAUACGGUGUGACGCCUGCCCGGUGCCGGAAGGUUAAUUGAUGGGGUUAGCGGUAACGCGAAGCUCUUGAUCGAAGCCCCGGUAAACGGCGGCCGUAACUAUAACGGUCCUAAGGUAGCGAAAUUCCUUGUCGGGUAAGUUCCGACCUGCACGAAUGGCGUAAUGAUGGCCAGGCUGUCUCCACCCGAGACUCAGUGAAAUUGAACUCGCUGUGAAGAUGCAGUGUACCCGCGGCAAGACGGAAAGACCCCGUGAACCUUUACUAUAGCUUGACACUGAACAUUGAGCCUUGAUGUGUAGGAUAGGUGGGAGGCUUUGAAGUGUGGACGCCAGUCUGCAUGGAGCCGACCUUGAAAUACCACCCUUUAAUGUUUGAUGUUCUAACGUUGGCCCGUAAUCCGGGUUGCGGACAGUGUCUGGUGGGUAGUUUGACUGGGGCGGUCUCCUCCUAAAGAGUAACGGAGGAGCACGAAGGUUGGCUAAUCCUGGUCGGACAUCAGGAGGUUAGUGCAAUGGCAUAAGCCAGCUUGACUGCGAGCGUGACGGCGCGAGCAGGUGCGAAAGCAGGUCAUAGUGAUCCGGUGGUUCUGAAUGGAAGGGCCAUCGCUCAACGGAUAAAAGGUACUCCGGGGAUAACAGGCUGAUACCGCCCAAGAGUUCAUAUCGACGGCGGUGUUUGGCACCUCGAUGUCGGCUCAUCACAUCCUGGGGCUGAAGUAGGUCCCAAGGGUAUGGCUGUUCGCCAUUUAAAGUGGUACGCGAGCUGGGUUUAGAACGUCGUGAGACAGUUCGGUCCCUAUCUGCCGUGGGCGCUGGAGAACUGAGGGGGGCUGCUCCUAGUACGAGAGGACCGGAGUGGACGCAUCACUGGUGUUCGGGUUGUCAUGCCAAUGGCACUGCCCGGUAGCUAAAUGCGGAAGAGAUAAGUGCUGAAAGCAUCUAAGCACGAAACUUGCCCCGAGAUGAGUUCUCCCUGAGACUUAGAGUCUCCUGAAGGAACGUUGAAG